This 226-nucleotide long non-coding RNA is filed under the name Carica papaya (papaya). Its description in RNAcentral is "long non-coding RNA (CPAP_LNC014162)". Lineage: Eukaryota; Viridiplantae; Streptophyta; Magnoliopsida; Brassicales; Caricaceae. The record is from RNAcentral.
UAUACUCUAGAUUUACUUAAAGAUAUUAGAUUCAAAAAAAUUAACUUGGCAAAAUCGUUAACCCCUUGUAGAUGUUACUUCAUACAGCUAGCUAGUUGGUAAACUCUUGUUUCUUAACAACACCAGACUUGAUAUUUGCUAUUAUGUUCAACAACUUCCCUAGUUUCUUGAUGCUCUUAUUAAGAUACGUUUACAGGUUGCACCCCGAGUUUUAAAGGACUUAAAA